RNAcentral lists this ribosomal RNA (1027 nucleotides) under Prevotella nigrescens. RNAcentral's name for it is "bacterial SSU rRNA". Lineage: Bacteria; Pseudomonadati; Bacteroidota; Bacteroidia; Bacteroidales; Prevotellaceae. The record is from RNAcentral.
AUGGGUUGUAAACUGCUUUUAUGUGGGAAUAAAKUGGCGCACGUGUGCGCCAUUGCAUGUACCUCAUGAAUAAGGACCGGCUAAUUCCGUGCCAGCAGCCGCGGUAAUACGGAAGGUCCGGGCGUUAUCCGGAUUUAUUGGGUUUAAAGGGAGUGUAGGCGGUCUGUUAAGCGUGUUGUGAAAUUUAGGUGCUCAACAUUUAACUUGCAGCGCGAACUGUCAGACKUGAGUACACGCAGCGCAGGCGGAAUUCAUGGUGUAGCGGUGAAAUGCUUAGAUAUCAUGAGGAACUCCGAUCGCGAAGGCAGCCUGCGGGAGUGUKACUGACGCUUAAGCUCGAAGGUGCGGGUAUCGAACAGGAUUAGAUACCCUGGUAGUCCGCACGGUAAACGAUGGAUGCCCGCCGUUGGCGCCCUGCGCCUGCGGCCAAGCGAAAGCAUUAAGCAUCCCACCUGGGGAGUACGCCGGCAACGGUGAAACUCAAAGGAAUUGACGGGGGCCCGCACAAGCGGAGGAACAUGUGGUUUAAUUCGAUGAUACGCGAGGAACCUUACCCGGGCUUGAAUUGCAGUCGCUGCCCACAGAGACGUGGGCUUCCCUUCGGGGCGUCUGKGAAGGUGCUGCAUGGUUGUCGUCAGCUCGUGCCGUGAGGUGUCGGCUUAAGUGCCAUAACGAGCGCAACCCCCUUUCCCAGUUGCCAUCGGGUKAUGCCGGGCACUCUGGGGACACUGCCACCGCAAGGUGCGAGGAAGGUGGGGAUGACGUCAAAUCAGCACGGCCCUUACGUCCGGGGCUACACACGUGUUACAAUGGCCGGUACAGAGGGACGGUGCAAUGCAAGUUGCAUCCAAUCUUGAAAUCCGGUCCCAGUUCGGACUGGGGUCUGCAACCCGACCCCACGAAGCUGGAUUCGCUAGUAAUCGCGCAUCAGCCAUGGCGCGGUGAAUACGUUCCCGGGCCUUGUACACACCGCCCGUCAAGCCAUGAAAGCCGGGGKUGCCUGAAGUUCGUGACCGCGAGGAGCGAC